AAAACAUAAUUUUAUUUUAAGCAAAAUGUCUCCAUUUUUCUAUGCUCGAUUUUAUCCCCACUCUAUCCUCGAAAUCCCUUAUUGUUUUAUCCUAAAAGUUUUCCCUAAAUCCCUAAAAGUUUCUUCUCUAAAGAUUAGCAACAUCUCUUCCACACGAAUUAUACCUGUUAUAAUCUGCUCUGAAGAUGGAAUCCUCGCCGUAAUCGAACAAGGUAAGCAGUUCCUUAAGUACAACUAUUAUGAGUUGGACAAAACAAUAGUUAAGCUCAAACCCUCUUAUUCCCAUCAAUCUAUUCAUUUGCAGCAAAACCCAAGUCUGCAAACUAUCCCAAAGUCUCAUUCUCUGUUAUUUGCAGCCAAAGCCAACAAAAAUAUCCACCUUUUAAUUCUUUGCUCAACUUUUAUCGUAAAGAAGAAGUUCGUGUCACCAAAAAAGACAAGACUCAAUUCAUAGUUAUUUAUCAUAGACUAAUCCUCAUUUGACAUCUUCUGGUCUGAAAUCCAAAACUAGAGGCAAGCUUCCUGAUGAAUUUGUCGGUGUUAGCAAUACCUGUGGCUAUCAAAAUGAAUAUGACAAUAUUAUAGCACCCUUACCAAGUAUUGAAUACAAGGGCAAGAAAGAUUCAAGAGUCUUAUUCCAAGUUGUAUUAGGGAUUCCUCUGUGGCUGUCAUUGUCUAUGUUGUUGCAAGCAGUCCUUCGUAAAUACAUCAAAGUGGAUUGAAAAGGUACGAACUUAGCAGGGUAAUGAGUUAAUGUAGUUUACAACUGCUUUGGCUUUUGGCUGUGGUCAUUAAGUUGGUGUGAAAUUGUCGGUAGCCCUCUGCUGCAUCUUCGUCGGCAGCCCUCUACUGCUUCUCCAGUUUUUUGCCAUCUAGUUUUCUGUUAUUUGCCAUACUAAAAAAUGCUUAGAAGAAGAUUACGAGAUCUAAGUAUUAUUCAGAAUACUCUAAAUUUGGAAGAAACAAAUAGUGAACAACAGACUGCUAUUGGAUCAUCGAAUGUUCCAGAAACACCGGACGAGCCUGUAGAAAUUCAAACUGAAAGUUGUGGGACGUGCAGAGGUCGAGGACGUACGCUACUUAAAGAUUUAUACGAGUUAAAUCCUGUCGAGCGUGUCAAAGUAUCUAGAAACAAUCUUGGUCAGCCUGUUGGAUCAGAAGCUCGAAUUUUAGCAGGAUAUUUGGGCAUUAUAGCAUGAAAUACCAAUAUGUUGCCUAUCAACUAUGGAUCAUGGCAUCAAAUGCCUGAUAGUAACAAAAAGCUCUUAAUAAUAUUAAGGGAACAAAACAUGAAUGUAAUUUAUAAUACUUUGGUUUAAGUUUCAUUUAUAUUUACUUUCUAAACUUGUGUUUUUUAAAGAGAGAUUUGCUUUAGAGGUCUCGGAUACUUAUAUCAAGAAGGCAUUGGGAAAAAAAUGGAGAGACCAUAAAAGCACUUAAAAAAAGAAUAUUUUAAGAAAGAUAUAAGCCUCGAAGAGAAAUUCUGGAAUGUCCUGCAGGGAAUGCUGAGGUACCAAUGGGAAGAUGCGGUUAGAUUCUAGAAUUCAAAUAAAGGAGAGGAACUCUUGUCUGGUCAAAAAAUUAGACGCUUUCAGCUUUUUGACAUUACAAAUAGGAAGAAAGAUGGAUCUCCAAUGACUUCUGAAGCUGGAGAAAUUAUGAAUUAUUACUGAAGUUUUGGGUCCUGAAAGGUAUGGUCGAGUUCGAUUUCAAGGAUCUGGUGUUAACCCAACCCAAUAUUUUGGAUCCAGCUCGCAGCAAUACAUGCCUUCGGGGAGUCAAGCUCAAGCUGAAGUUCAAAGGUUAAGAGACCAGAUGGCUUAGAUGCAAGCGAGCACAGUUGAGAAAAUUGCUCAACUUAAAGUGGAGGCAGCAUCGAGAGAAGCACAGGUUUAAAGAAAAUAUGAAGAACUCCAGCUACAACUUAAAGAGGAGGCAACAGUGAGGGAAGCAGAGCAAAACAGAAAAUACAACGAAUCCAGCUACAGCUUCAAAAUAUGUUGAAGUUGUUUCAGCAGUCACAGAAUCUACCAUCUUAGACGUUUAUUUUCUUAUUGUAAGAAUGUUUUAACAAUAUAACUUUUAACAUUACUUUAAGAAUAUUUUGUUAUUUCAUUUAUUAAUUUAGAUAAUAUAUUUUUCGUUGGAUUUUUAA
Gossypium arboreum is the source of this 2155-nucleotide long non-coding RNA. RefSeq lists it as uncharacterized. The record is from RefSeq and is a predicted model, not a curated record. The transcript is spliced from 8 exons. NCBI's taxonomy places the organism in Eukaryota, Viridiplantae, Streptophyta, Magnoliopsida, Malvales, Malvaceae.